UACGUAGGUGGCAAGCGUUGUCCGGAAUUAUUGGGCGUAAAGCGCGCGCAGGCGGUCCUUUAAGUCUGAUGUGAAAGCCCACGGCUCAACCGUGGAGGGUCAUUGGAAACUGGGGGACUUGAGUGCAGAAGAGGAGAUCGGAAUUCCACGUGUAGCGGUGAAAUGCGUAGAGAUGUGGAGGAACACCAGUGGCGAAGGCGGCUCUCUGGUCUGUAACUGACGCUGAGGCGCGAAAGCGUGGGGAGCGAACAGG
Molecule: ribosomal RNA, 253 nt
Filed under: uncultured bacterium
Lineage: Bacteria
Description: partial 16S ribosomal RNA
Rfam family: Bacterial small subunit ribosomal RNA
Source: RNAcentral